CUCCCGUCUCUUCUACCCGAGCCCCCCCUCCCCCCGCCAAGCAGAGAGACCCCAGCAGCAGCAGCAGCUGAUGAUGAAGAGAGAGGCAGUGGCAGAGGGGGGGCACCUUUUAUUUCUAUUUUUAAAGGGACAGGACACUAAUUCUACCCCACUUCAACCUUGAAUUGAGGGGGGUGGGGGGAAGGCGGCUGAGUUCCUUCCCCCACCCUCCAGCCCUGAGCCCUGAGAGGGAGAUUGAGCCUGAGAGAAGGAGAAGGAGUUUCUUCUUCUUCGAAAACCCCCAUCCACGACUCCUACCCCCUCACCCCUCCAACUCGCCUCCCUCCCGAGCCCCCUCCACCCUCCUCCUCUUUGGCCGUGAGAGGAGGAGAGAAAGAGACCAAAAGCCUCUUAGCAACACAGACCCUUUGCUGCUGCUGCUGCUGCUACUGCUGUUGCUGCUGCUGCUGCUGCCACUGCUACUGCUGCUGCUUGGCCCUGGCUGGAGACAUCUCACUACACCCAGGAGCAGCCACUUCCCCGGCUCUCCUCCUCCUCCUUCGCCUCCUCCUCCUCCUCCACUCCCCCCCUUUAUUACCCUUUGUGUCAUCUUCCACAGCUCCAGGGAAGGCACUCAAAAGUGGGGGGCAGGAAAGACAAUUAUCAGCUUUCCAGUUUUCUAUGGAUAUGAAGAUUUACUCCUAGUCAUCAGUGGGACCCCAUGAAGUCAGCCAGAAAGCCUAUGUCCAACUUAAUGUAUCUUUGCAAACUUGUCUGGAUUUUUGAAUGUAUGUGCAAAGCAGAUUGUACUUAGCUAUUCAUUAAACAUCUAUUGAUCAUCUACUGUCUGUCAGGCACUGUGCUAGGCAUCUGAAAAACAAAGAUGGUCCCUGCAGUUUAAUGUGAAGAGGUAUCUUAACUGUAUUCCACAAGUGCAUUGGUCAUGUCUUUGUUUUGGUAUUUCUACCUAAAUAAAUUUUAUAUCAACUAAAUGGAUGCUGUUAGGUAGACAAAUGCAUGUUUAAGAAGGAUAUUGCUGUAUUUUAUUAAAUUCAUUUAUUAUAAAAAUAAAAAGAAAAA
Lemur catta (Ring-tailed lemur) is the source of this 1059-nucleotide long non-coding RNA. RefSeq lists it as uncharacterized. The record is from RefSeq and is a predicted model, not a curated record. NCBI's taxonomy places the organism in Eukaryota, Metazoa, Chordata, Mammalia, Primates, Lemuridae. The transcript is spliced from 2 exons.